AACGAACGCUGGCGGCAUGCCUAACACAUGCAAGUCGAACGAUUGCCUUCGGGUGAUAGUGGCGCACGGGUGCGUAACGCGUGGGAAUCUGCCCUUAGGUUCGGAAUAACAGCUGGAAACGGCUGCUAAUACCGGAUGAUAUCGCGAGAUCAAAGAUUUAUCGCCUGAGGAUGAGCCCGCGUUGGAUUAGGGAGUUGGUGGGGUAAAGGCCUACCAAGCCGACGAUCCAUAGCUGGUCUGAGAGGAUGAUCAGCCACACUGGGACUGAGACACGGCCCAGACUCCUACGGGAGGCAGCAGUGGGGAAUAUUGGACGAUGGGCGCAAGCCUGAUCCAGCAAUGCCGCGUGAGUGAUGAAGGCCCUAGGGUUGUAAAGCUCUUUUACCCGGGAAGAUAAUGACGGUACCGGGAGAAUAAGCCCCGGCUAACUCCGUG
RNAcentral lists this ribosomal RNA (435 nucleotides) under uncultured bacterium. Its description in RNAcentral is "partial 16S ribosomal RNA". It matches the Rfam family "Bacterial small subunit ribosomal RNA", at positions 29 to 507 of the family's 1533-position model. The record is from RNAcentral.